CCCGAAAUUUCGUAUUGGGGUGAUUCAUCGUCAACGGCGUCGGCUUCGUCGCGGUCCCGCGAUACUGCGACCACGCGUUCGCGGCACGCGGCCGCGCGAUGCCCGUCAUCGACGACGUGCACUUCUCCCCUUGCAGAACGUCGCGACCCGUUGGGCGUCGGUCUACGGCCCGAGUCGGUAGCCUGUCAUCGGCGCUUCGUUCGACGAUGGCAGACCGUCGGUAGCCCGGCCGGCUGCCCGGCGGUACCCGUACGGUAUUCAGCCGCAUCUAAUUGCGUCCAGCCCGUCGCAAGCGAGACCAGAUUACGCCGGUGGUCGGACCAAGCGCCGGCCCCGGAACUGGUCGGCUGUUGGCAGACGGUGUCCUCGGACGGGCUGUAAUUUUUUUUUACCGGUCGGCGACGCUAUUGCUUCGGGUACUUUCA
Molecule: ribosomal RNA, 425 nt
Filed under: Arge berberidis
Lineage: Eukaryota; Metazoa; Arthropoda; Insecta; Hymenoptera; Argidae
Description: eukaryotic LSU rRNA
Source: RNAcentral